CUGAUGAUGUCCAUUUCAACAUUAGCAUACGUGGACAUUUGCAGCACUUCCUGUUUUCUUAAUUUUUAACUUUCAAUUUUAAACUUUUAUUAACAAAAGGGGAACUGUACUGGAACGGAUGGAGCCAAAUGUACCACUGUGUGCAGCUUUGGUAAAGGAAUUUAAAGGAGAACAAAUGCUGGGAAGUUGCUCUAACAUACAGUAUGUGUGUUCCCAAAGGUGAAGGCUCCAGAUGUGGCGGCCAAGCUGAAGAGACCAUCAGAGAGGCUGAAGGAGAAGCAGGAUGAACAGCAGAAUUACCAGGUUCUGACUCUGACGGUGGCCAGUCUGUGUCUCUUCUUCAUGGUGCUUGCCACACAGUAAGUGACUAUUUGUUCAGUUCAUUGAUUUGUUGAUUCCCUGAUUGAUUGACUAGGUGGAGAGAAUGGGGGAGGUGAUUCUCGGAUUAUUCAGAGACCCGACACAAAGGGAACCCAUGGAGACCAGCUAGCUAGAGUGACGACCCUAAUCAGAAGCACCAUGAGAAUGGUACUAACAUUCUUCUGCUGGCAGGAGAUUCUCUUGCUUUGCUGAGACGCAUAGUGAUGAAGGAAGAGACAUCACAGCCCUUUCCUGGGGUGCAGAGUCCCGUCUCAUCCGCAGAGCAGGGACAGCACAAGUGCUGAUCCCAGAAGUGACUGAGGGUGAAUGCAGCCACUCACGGUGGGACUCAGCACGACGUCAUUCUGUCUCAAGUUCGUUAGGUCAACAUUUUUAAUCGGUGCAAAUAGAUAAAUAGCACAUGUUCACAGAGGUUUUAUGCGUUUGGUUUUUUAUCUGAUUCCAUGGACUCCUCCUGUAGCACACGUUUAAACAUCAGCCUGGAUCU
RNAcentral lists this long non-coding RNA (868 nucleotides) under Heterocephalus glaber (naked mole-rat). Its description in RNAcentral is "lncRNA (ENSHGLG00000050440.1)". The record is from RNAcentral. Lineage: Eukaryota; Metazoa; Chordata; Mammalia; Rodentia; Bathyergidae.